AUUGAACGCUGGCGGCAGGCCUAACACAUGCAAGUCGAGCGGAUGAAGGGAGCUUGCUCCUGGAUUCAGCGGCGGACGGGUGAGUCAUGCCUAGGAAUCUGCCUGGUAGUGGGGGAUAACGUCCGGAAACGGGCGCUAAUACCGCAUACGUCCUGAGGGAGCAAGUGGGGGAUCUUCGGAUCUCACGCUAUCAGAUGAGCCUAGGUCGGAUUAGCUAGUUGGUGGGGUAAAGGCCUACCAAGGCGACGAUCCGUAACUGGUCCGAGAGGGUGAUCAGACACCCGGGAACUGAGAAACGGCCCAGACUCCUACGGGAGGCAGCAGUGGGGAAUAUUGGACGAGGGGGGAAAGCGUGAUCCAGCCAUGCCGCGUGUGGGCAGAUGGUCUUCGGAUGGUAAAGCGCUGUAAGUUGGGAGGAAGGACAGUAAUUUAAUACCGGGCUGCUUUGACGUUACCAACAGAAUAAGCACCGGCUAACUUCGUG
Molecule: ribosomal RNA, 484 nt
Filed under: uncultured bacterium
Lineage: Bacteria
Description: partial 16S ribosomal RNA
Rfam family: Bacterial small subunit ribosomal RNA
Source: RNAcentral